RNAcentral lists this ribosomal RNA (484 nucleotides) under uncultured bacterium. Its description in RNAcentral is "partial 16S ribosomal RNA". It matches the Rfam family "Bacterial small subunit ribosomal RNA", at positions 30 to 507 of the family's 1533-position model. The record is from RNAcentral.
AUUGAACGCUGGCGGCAUGCCUAACACAUGCAAGUCGAGCGGAUGAAGGGAGCUUUCUCCUGUAUGCAGCUGCGGACGGGUAAGUAAGUCCUAGGAAUCUGCCUGGCAUAUGGGGAUAACGUCCGGAAACGGGCGCUAAUACCGCAUACGUCCUGAUGGAGAAAGGGGGGGAUCUUCGGACAUCACGCUAUCAGAUGAGCCUAGGUCGGAUUAGCUAGUUGGUGGGGUAAAGGCCUACCAAGGCGACGAUCCGUAACUGGUCUGAGAGGAUGAUCAGUCACACUGGAACUGAGACACGGUCCAGACUCCUACGGGAGGCAGCAGUGGGGAAUCUUCGACAAUGGGCGAAAGCCUGAUCCAGCAACGCCGCGUGUGUGAAGAAGGUCUUCGGAUUGUAAAGCACUGUUAGUUGGGAGGAAGGGAAGUAAGUUAAUCCAUGGCUGUUUUGACGGUACCUACAGAAUAAGCCCCGGCUAACUUCGUG